RNAcentral lists this transfer RNA (91 nucleotides) under Mycolicibacterium sp. NCC-Tsukiji. RNAcentral's name for it is "tRNA-Asn". The record is from RNAcentral. Lineage: Bacteria; Bacillati; Actinomycetota; Actinomycetes; Mycobacteriales; Mycobacteriaceae. RNAcentral also lists the same sequence under 3 other names.
GGCGCUGUGGCACGGCGUCAACAUGCCGCUGCUGUUGUCGGCCGUGAUCCUCGGAGCCGGCGCGGCGGCGUUCGUGCUGCGGCACCGCCUC